AAACAUGAGAGUUUGAUCCUGGCUCAGAGCGAACGCUGGCGGCGUGCCUAACACAUGCAAGUCGAACGUGAAAGGGGGCAACCCUGAGUAAAGUGGCGUACGGGUGAGUAACGCGUAGGUAAUCUACCCCAGAAUCUGGAAUAACCUGCCGAAAGGCGGGCUAAUACUGGAUAGAGCGACGGAAUCCGUAAUUGGGUUUUUCGGGAAAGGGAGGCCGUAAGGCCCCUCGUUUUGGGAUGAGCCUGCGUCUCAUUAGCUAGUUGGUAAGGUAACGGCUUACCAAGGCAUUGAUGGGUAGCUGGUCUGAGAGGAUGAUCAGCCACACUGGAACUGAGACACGGUCCAGACUCCUACGGGAGGCAGCAGUGGGGAAUCUUGCGCAAUGGACGAAAGUCUGACGCAGCCACGCCGCGUGAGUGAAGAAGGCCUUCGGGUUGUAAAGCUCUGUCGAGCGGGACGAAAAUACUUUGGGUUAACAGCCCAAGGGACUGACGGUACCGCUAAAGGAAGCACCGGCUAACUCUGUGCC
This 529-nucleotide ribosomal RNA is filed under the name Bdellovibrionales bacterium. Its description in RNAcentral is "bacterial SSU rRNA". It matches the Rfam family "Bacterial small subunit ribosomal RNA", at positions 1 to 509 of the family's 1533-position model. The record is from RNAcentral. Lineage: Bacteria; Pseudomonadati; Bdellovibrionota; Bdellovibrionia; Bdellovibrionales.